AUUAUGUCUGUUAGUGUCACAAUUGACUAUACUCUCACUAUCUAAAAUCAAUUAUCAAACUACAAAAUACCAAGGCUUACUACUUUCGUCUAGAUUGAACACACAAUCCAUUCUACGACUAUCAAUUCAACAAUACUUCUCUCAAUCAUAAUUCUUCAUAAGUAAAUAAUAAAAGUAAAGAAAAUAAAGAGGUAGCACGAAGCUUACCCUAAUUUACAACUCUCACAGUCUAGCUCCAAUCUCUCUUUCUUCAAUCUCUUUAUUCUACCAAAAAGAUGAUUCGUCGGCCAGCGGAUUCUAAAGGUUAUGAUCCUUUGAAUUCUUAACUAUUUAUUCCACUAACAACCUACUAUUAUCAAUUAAACUGCCUAGUCAUCAGUCUAAUUC
RNAcentral lists this long non-coding RNA (387 nucleotides) under Physcomitrium patens. RNAcentral describes it as "long non-coding RNA (PPAT_LNC004456)". The record is from RNAcentral. Lineage: Eukaryota; Viridiplantae; Streptophyta; Bryopsida; Funariales; Funariaceae.